AGUGAACGCUGGCGGUAGGCCUAACACAUGCAAGUCGAACGGCAGCACAGAGGAGCUUGCUCCUUGGGUGGCGAGUGGCGGACGGGUGAGGAAUACAUCGGAAUCUACUUUUUCGUGGGGGAUAACGUAGGGAAACUUACGCUAAUACCGCAUACGACCUACGGGUGAAAGCAGGGGACCUUCGGGCCUUGCGCGAUUGAAUGAGCCGAUGUCGGAUUAGGUAGUUGGCGGGGUAAAGGCCCACCAAGGCGACGGACCGUAACUGGUCUGAGAGGAUGAUCAGCCACACUGGGACUUGGACUCGGUCAAGACUCCUACGGGAGGCAGCAGUGGGGAAUAUUGGACAAUGGGCGCAAGCCUGAUCCAGCCAUACCGCGUGGGUGAAGAAGGCCUUCGGGUUGUAAAGCCCUUUUGUUGGGAAAGAAAUCCAGCCGGCUAAUACCUGGUUGGGAUGACGGUACCCAAAGAAUAAGCACCGGCUAACUUCGUGCCAGCCGCCGCGGUAA
Molecule: ribosomal RNA, 506 nt
Filed under: uncultured bacterium
Lineage: Bacteria
Description: partial 16S ribosomal RNA
Rfam family: Bacterial small subunit ribosomal RNA
Source: RNAcentral